Molecule: ribosomal RNA, 475 nt
Filed under: uncultured organism
Description: partial 16S ribosomal RNA
Rfam family: Bacterial small subunit ribosomal RNA
Source: RNAcentral
GUACACUCCUACGGGAGGCAGCAGUGGGGAAUUUUGGACAAUGGGCGAAAGCCUGAUCCAGCAAUGCCGCGUGCAGGAUGAAGGCCUUCGGGUUGUAAACUGCUUUUGUACGGAACGAAAAAGCUCCUUCUAAUACAGGGGGCCCAUGACGGUACCGUAAGAAUAAGCACCGGCUAACUACGUGCCAGCAGCCGCGGUAAUACGUAGGGUGCGAGCGUUAAUCGGAAUUACUGGGCGUAAAGCGUGCGCAGGCGGUUAUGUAAGACAGAUGUGAAAUCCCCGGGCUCAACCUGGGAACUGCAUUUGUGACUGCAUGGCUAGAGUACGGUAGAGGGGGAUGGAAUUCCGCGUGUAGCAGUGAAAUGCGUAGAUAUGCGGAGGAACACCGAUGGCGAAGGCAAUCCCCUGGACCUGUACUGACGCUCAUGCACGAAAGCGUGGGGAGCAAACAGGAUUAGAUACCCGUGUAGUCCCA